GACGAACGCUGGCGGCGUGCCUAAUACAUGCAAGUCGAACGAGAGCGACCGGUGCUUGCACUGGUCAAUCUAGUGGCGAACGGGUGAGUAACACGUGGGUAACCUGCCCAUCAGAGGGGGAUAACAUCCGGAAACGGAUGCUAAAACCGCAUAGGUCUUCGAGCCGCAUGGCUUGAAGAUGAAAAGAGGCGCACGCUUCUGCUGAUGGAUGGACCCGCGGUGCAUUAGCUAGUUGGUGAGGUAACGGCUCACCAAGGCCGUGAUGCAUAGCCGACCUGAGAGGGUGAUCGGCCACAUUGGGACUGAGACACGGCCCAAACUCCUACGGGAGGCAGCAGUAGGGAAUCUUCCGCAAUGGACGCAAGUCUGACGGAGCAACGCCGCGUGAGUGAAGAAGGUUUUCGGAUCGUAAAACUCUGUUGUUAGAGAAGAACAAGUGCUAGAGUAACUGUUAGCGCCUUGACGGUAUCUAACCAGAAAGCCACGGCUAACUACGUG
RNAcentral lists this ribosomal RNA (498 nucleotides) under uncultured bacterium. RNAcentral's name for it is "partial 16S ribosomal RNA". It matches the Rfam family "Bacterial small subunit ribosomal RNA", at positions 28 to 507 of the family's 1533-position model. The record is from RNAcentral.